UUCGCAAUGCCCGAAAGGGUGAACGAGCGACGCCGCGUGCGGGAUGAAGGCCUUCGGGUUGUAAACUCCUGUCGAGGGGGAGGAAGGCGCAAGCUUGACCGAUCCCUGGAGGAAGCACGGGCUAAGUUCGUGCCAGCAGCCGCGGUAAGACGAACUGUGCGAACGUUAUUCGGAAUCACUGGGCUUAAAGCGCGUGUAGGCGGAGGGGAACGUCGGAUUCUGAAAGCCCCCGGCUCAACCGGGGAAGUGGGUCCGAAACGACCUGUCUGGAGGGACGUAGGGGGACCUGGAACUUCCGGUGGAGCGGUGAAAUGCGUUGAGAUCGGAAGGAACGCCCGUGGCGAAAGCGAGGUCCUGGACGUCUGCUGACGCUGAGACGCGAAAGCUAGGGGAGCAAACGGGAUUAGAUACCCCGGUAGUCCUAGCCGUAAACGAUGGGCACUAAGUAGAGGGGUUUU
This 458-nucleotide ribosomal RNA is filed under the name uncultured bacterium. RNAcentral's name for it is "bacterial SSU rRNA". It matches the Rfam family "Bacterial small subunit ribosomal RNA", at positions 364 to 832 of the family's 1533-position model. The record is from RNAcentral.